RNAcentral lists this ribosomal RNA (253 nucleotides) under uncultured bacterium. Its description in RNAcentral is "partial 16S ribosomal RNA". It matches the Rfam family "Bacterial small subunit ribosomal RNA", at positions 524 to 776 of the family's 1533-position model. The record is from RNAcentral.
GACGAACCGAGCGAACGUUGUUCGGAAUCACUGGGCUUAAAGGGCGCGUAGGCGGCCCCCCAAGUCCGGGGUGAAAUCCCACGGCUUAACCGUGGAACGGCCCGGGAUACUGGGGGGCUCGAGGGGGAGAGGGGCGUCUGGAACACUGGGUGGAGCGGUGAAAUGCGUUGAUAUCCAGUGGAACUCCGGUGGCGAAAGCGAGGCGCUGGAUCCCUUCUGACGCUGAGGCGCGAAAGCCAGGGGAGCGAACGGG